Molecule: non-coding RNA, 208 nt
Organism: Paramuricea clavata
Lineage: Eukaryota; Metazoa; Cnidaria; Anthozoa; Malacalcyonacea; Plexauridae
Source: the annotation of a GenBank genome assembly
AAAAAAUAUGGAGGAGUCACAAUCUUUGAAAAUCAAAUUUAUCUUGAAAAUCUGUAUCCGGGACACAUUGAUACUGGAAUGUGACACCCACAAAGUUGUCGUUUCAUCACAACUGCACAGUGGAAACUUGUUCGGUUUGAACUUCUCAGCGAUUUUCGAUUCGUAAGCGGUUAUUAUUUUGCUGGCAUUAUACGCAGCUUCAAACUCG